Molecule: transfer RNA, 74 nt
Filed under: Candidatus Taylorbacteria bacterium CG10_big_fil_rev_8_21_14_0_10_41_48
Lineage: Bacteria; Candidatus Tayloriibacteriota
Description: tRNA-Gly
Rfam family: tRNA
About the family: Transfer RNA (tRNA) molecules are approximately 80 nucleotides in length. Their secondary structure includes four short double-helical elements and three loops (D, anti-codon, and T loops).
Source: RNAcentral
GCGGGUAUCGUUUAGUGGUAGGACACGUCCUUGCCAAGGAUGAGAUGAGAGUUCGAUUCUCUCUACCCGCACCA